RNAcentral lists this ribosomal RNA (490 nucleotides) under Glomus sp. Glo4. Its description in RNAcentral is "SSU rRNA". It matches the Rfam family "Eukaryotic small subunit ribosomal RNA", at positions 569 to 1064 of the family's 1831-position model. The record is from RNAcentral. Lineage: Eukaryota; Fungi; Glomeromycota; Glomeromycetes; Glomerales; Glomeraceae.
AGCAGCCGCGGUAAUUCCAGCUCCAAUAGCGUAUAUUAAAGUUGUUGCAGUUAAAAAGCUCGUAGUUGAAUUUCGGGAUCAGAUUGUUGGUCGUGCCUCGGUACGCACUGGCAUUAUUGGUUCCUACCUUCUGAAGAACCGCGAUGUCAUUAAUUUGGUGUCGUGGGGAAUCAGGACUGUUACUUUGAAAAAAUUAGAGUGUUUAAAGCAGGCGCACGCUUGAAUACAUUAGCAUGGAAUAAUGAAAUAGGACGUUUGAUUCUAUUUUGUUGGUUUCUAGGAUCGACGUAAUGAUUAAUAGGGAUAGUUGGGGGCAUUAGUAUUCAAUUGUCAGAGGUGAAAUUCUUGGAUUUAUUGAAGACUAACUACUGCGAAAGCAUUUGCCAAGGAUGUUUUCAUUAAUCAAGAACGAAAGUUAGGGGAUCGAAGACGAUCAGAUACCGUCGUAGUCUUAACCAUAAACUAUGCCGACUAGGGAUCGGAUGAUGUU